UACGUAGGGGGCAAGCGUUGUCCGGAAUCAUUGGGCGUAAAGAGCGUGUAGGCGGCCCGGUAAGUCCGCCGUGAAAGUCCAGGGCUCAACCCUGGAAUGCCGGUGGAAACUGCCGGGCUGGAGUCCGGAAGAGGCGAGUGGAAUUCCUGGUGUAGCGGUGAAAUGCGCAGAUAUCAGGAGGAACACCAAUGGCGAAGGCAGCUCGCUGGGACGGUACUGACGCUGAGACGCGAAAGCCAGGGGAGCGAACGGG
RNAcentral lists this ribosomal RNA (253 nucleotides) under uncultured bacterium. RNAcentral describes it as "partial 16S ribosomal RNA". It matches the Rfam family "Bacterial small subunit ribosomal RNA", at positions 524 to 776 of the family's 1533-position model. The record is from RNAcentral.